RNAcentral lists this unclassified non-coding RNA (227 nucleotides) under Hevea brasiliensis (rubber tree). Lineage: Eukaryota; Viridiplantae; Streptophyta; Magnoliopsida; Malpighiales; Euphorbiaceae. The record is from RNAcentral.
CUCUCUCUCUCUCUCUCUCGCAAACUUUUAUUUUGUUUUGUAUAUUAAUAACUGGCACAUUCACCUGGAUUGUGACAUUGGUAUUCUUUUGAUGAUUGGCUGCUCUGAGAUAAUUCAUUUUUUGCUGAUUGGAUUGUUUUCUAAAGUAAUCUAUUUCCUCAUCCUCUCCUUUUAGAUUUCAUCAUCAAAGAGUGCCAUUGGUAAUUCUUGUUUGUGGAACUGCAUGU